Molecule: ribosomal RNA, 497 nt
Filed under: uncultured bacterium
Lineage: Bacteria
Description: partial 16S ribosomal RNA
Rfam family: Bacterial small subunit ribosomal RNA
Source: RNAcentral
GAUGAACGCUGGCGGCGUGCCUAAUACAUGCAAGUCGAGCGAACAGACGAGGAGCUUGCUCCUCUGACGGUAGCGGCGGACGGGUGAGUAACACGUGGAUAACCUACCUAUAAGACUGGGAUAACUUCGGGGAACGGGAGCUAAUACCGGAUAAUAUAUUGAAGCGCAUGGGUCAAUAGUGAAAGACGGUUUUGCUGUCACUUAUAGAUGGAUCAGCGCCGCAUUAGCUAGUUGGUAAGGUAACGGCUUACCAAAGCAACGAUGCGAAGCCGACCUGAGAGCGACAACGGACACCUUGGUAGUGAGAAUCGGCCGAGACUCCUGCGGGAGGCCGCAGUAGGGAAUCUUACGGAAUGGGCCAAAGCCUAACCGAGCACAACGGCGGAAGUGAUGAAGGACUCCGGACCCGAAAACUCUGAAAUUCGGGAAGAUGUAAAGUGUAAUCAACUAUGAACGUCUUGACGGUACCUACUCAGAAAGCCACGGCUAACUCCGUG